RNAcentral lists this ribosomal RNA (253 nucleotides) under uncultured bacterium. RNAcentral's name for it is "partial 16S ribosomal RNA". It matches the Rfam family "Bacterial small subunit ribosomal RNA", at positions 524 to 776 of the family's 1533-position model. The record is from RNAcentral.
UACGAAGGGGGCUAGCGUUGCUCGGAAUUACUGGGCGUAAAGGGAGCGUAGGCGGACAUUUAAGUCAGGGGUGAAAUCCCGGGGCUCAACCUCGGAAUUGCCUUUGAUACUGGGUGUCUUGAGUAUGAGAGAGGUGUGUGGAACUCCGAGUGUAGAGGUGAAAUUCGUAGAUAUUCGGAAGAACACCAGUGGCGAAGGCGACAUACUGGCUCAUUACUGACGCUGAGGCUCGAAAGCGUGGGGAUCAAACAGG